AUGCACCGACUCCGGCGCCCAGUCCGACUGCGGCGGAGGUUCCCGCCGCCGCGGCUGGUGCUGCAAACCAGUCUGCCUUCCCUGCAGGGCGAGCGGGGAUGGAGCAAGUGGGUGGAGAGAAAAGGGGAAGAGCCUGGGCGGCCGGCGGGCGGGGCCUGCAGCCUCCCCGAGCCGCGGCAGCCGGCGCGCAGACUGCUCUCUCCGCGCCUCGCUCCGACUCAGGCGCGCACGGCGCCGGGACCCGCGCCCGAGCCCGAGCCCGAGCCCGCGCCCGCGCCCGAGCCCGAGCCCGGGGGCGCCGCUGCUCCUCCGCCCCCGGCCCCCGCUCCCCGCCGAGUGCGCUGCGCGGAGGCCGCGCAGGGCAGCGGAGCGCUCCGGCUGCUGGGGCUUUUCGGCUGCCGCUCGCUGCUCCGUCUGGCCGGAGGACUGGCGGGGAAGGAAGGGGAAAGCGGCGACACACACACUCGCCGCGGCGCGCGCGCACUGCACACUCGCAGCCGCGCGCCCCCCGCCGAGGCGCGUCCCGGGCGAGUUUGGCCCCGCGGCCCCGGCCCCGCACCUGCCGGCUCCGCACGCCGCGCCCCGCCCCCGCCCCCGCCCCGCCGACCGUCGGGCCCCUUCCGCCCCUCGCCGGCACAGAUCUCCCGGCGCCGGGCGGGGGGGAAGCAACUACAUCCAGAUAACUUGCGGACUGUGGCGCAACUGGUCUCGACAGCAGAGGCGCCCGAAUGCUGCCCGGGUGAGAUGGGGCCCAGCAGAGCCAGCACGUGACUGCAGACCUGUCCAGCUCCGAAUCUUGUGACCUUUCUUCUUUGGUGCCUGAUGCCUCCCAACCCUGUGCUAGCCAGCCUGUCUUCUCACUGCUUCGCCCCCAAAGGUCCUUCCACAAGAGAGGUGAAAGUUACUUCUUUUAAAUGUAUCUAUGUUACUUGCUUUGAGAGACCUGAAAAGUUGAUUCUUGUGCAUGGAGUCAUGGACCAUGAUGGAGCUUUUCACUCUUGCUCAAUGGGGAGUAAACGGACCGUUGACAUGCUCUCAGACUCUGUAGAAGGAGUAGCCUGAGGAGAACCUUUUAUAUCAAAUGUCACUGAAGUAUCCAAUUACAAGAUUUCAAGUAAACAUACUACAAAUCAUCUGUAGGGACUAGAAUGGAGUAGUCAACAAUGAGGAGUAACAGGCCUCUCUCUUUCUUUUAACUUAUUUAAUGACAGUAUUCACAUGAAUCUAGCUUAAAAUGUGAGCCAGGAUAUCCAUUCAUUUGCUCAUUUAC
Molecule: long non-coding RNA, 1270 nt
Filed under: Zalophus californianus (California sea lion)
Lineage: Eukaryota; Metazoa; Chordata; Mammalia; Carnivora; Otariidae
Description: lncRNA (ENSZCAG00015016862.1)
Source: RNAcentral